GGGGAACCAGGACUUUUACCUUGAAAAAAUUAGAUCGCUUAAAGAGGGCCUAUGCUCGAAUACAUUAGCAUGGAAUAAUAGAAUAGGACGUGUGGUUCUAUUUUGUUGGUUUCUAGGACCGCCGUAAUGAUUAAUAGGGACAGUCGGGGGCAUCAGUAUUCAAUUGUCAGAGGUGAAAUUCUUGGAUUUAUUGAAGACUAACUACUGCGAAAGCAUUUGCCAAGGAUGUUUUCAUUAAUCAGGAACGAAAGUUAGGGGAUCGAAGACGAUCAGAUACCGUCGUAGUCUUAACCAUAAACUAUGCCGACUAGGGAUCGGACGAGCUCAAAUUUGACUCGUUCGGCACCUUACACGAAAGUAAAGUUUCUGGGUUCUGGGGGGAGUAUGGUCGCAAGGCUGAAACUUAAAGAAAUUGACGGAAGGGCACCACCAGGGGUGGAGCCUGCGGCUUAAUUUGACUCAACACGGGGAAACUCACCAGGUCCAGACACAAGUAGGAUUGACAGAUUGAGAGCUCUUUCUUGAUUUUGUGGGUGGUGGUGCAUGGCCGUUCUUAGUUGGUGGAGUGAUUUGUCUGCUUAAUUGCGAUAACGAACGAGACCU
Molecule: ribosomal RNA, 603 nt
Filed under: uncultured Valsaceae
Lineage: Eukaryota; Fungi; Ascomycota; Sordariomycetes; Diaporthales; Cytosporaceae
Description: SSU rRNA
Rfam family: Eukaryotic small subunit ribosomal RNA
Source: RNAcentral